GAUGAACGCUAGCGGCAGGCUUAAUACAUGCAAGUCGAACGGUAAGGUUUCUUCGGAGACACACGAGUGGCGCACGGGUGCGUAACGCGUAUGCAACCUACCUUUAACUGGGGAAUAGCCCCGAGAAAUCGGGAUUAAUACUCCAUAACAUCCAGUAUUCGCAUGGUAUUGGAUUAAAGCUCCGGCGGUUAAAGAUGGGCAUGCGUGGCAUUAGCUAGUUGGUGAGGUAACGGCUCACCAAGGCAACGAUGACCUAGGGGUCCUGAGAGGGUUAACCCCCACACUGGUACUGAGACACGGACCAGACUCCUACGGGUGGCAG
RNAcentral lists this ribosomal RNA (322 nucleotides) under uncultured Bacteroidota bacterium. RNAcentral's name for it is "bacterial SSU rRNA". It matches the Rfam family "Bacterial small subunit ribosomal RNA", at positions 28 to 351 of the family's 1533-position model. Lineage: Bacteria; Pseudomonadati; Bacteroidota. The record is from RNAcentral.